This is a long non-coding RNA of Nothobranchius furzeri (turquoise killifish), 1085 nucleotides long. RefSeq lists it as uncharacterized. The record is from RefSeq and is a predicted model, not a curated record. Lineage: Eukaryota; Metazoa; Chordata; Actinopteri; Cyprinodontiformes; Nothobranchiidae.
GUGGAAAUUGACCACGCCCCUUUUGCACCAUUGAUCCGCGCUGUGCCCAAGCCCACAUCGAAGCUGACUUGGGCGACGGGUAUUACUCACAAUCCAUUGCUGUGUGAGUACUUUCGGAAGGUGGAAAAAUGGCUCCAGUACCUUUUCUGAAAAUAUGCAAUUUCAAACAAAAGUUCAUUUUAAGAUGAUUAAUGAUAUUUAUUCAUGCUCUGAAUGUUUUAGACUAAUAUUUAUUAUGAUCAGCAAUGAAUGUAAAUUUUGUCAAGAAAUUAUUUGUUUGAAAGUUGUUAAUUAAGACUUUUUUAUAAAGUAGCACAAACAGCGGCCAGCAUGCGAUGCGGUCGAUGACGCAACGCUCCCUGUCCCAUUACGGCAAAUAGCUGCACAAUUGUGUACCACACACUUGAAGCCUCACUGCACACUUCCUCAAAUGCUCUUAGCUGAAGACCGUAGGGCGCAGUAUAAGUACUGGGAUUGGGCCGCAGAGGUUUGCAACCGAAACUGGGUUGAAUCUCAGCUCAGCUCAGGAUGUUCACCCAGAACCAGAAGCUCUCCACAGUUCAGCAUUCUUUUAUUUAAAAUUCUUUUUCAUUUUUUUAGUUCACCGUUCUUUGUUCCUUUUAGAGCAGCUGAGCACACCUCGUGGAGCUUUUUUAUUAUGGAGAACAAGAAAAUGAUGGAAUGUGGCAUCGGAAACUUGCAAACACUCACCUGCAGCUGACACCAGAACAGGCGGCGGCUACCUGGACCCCAUCUGCUGAGGGGAACACACACCUGCAGGUGAAGACGGAGGGAUGGAAAGAGAAGGAACAGAGAGGAGGAGUAAUGAGGGAGCAGCAGAGAGGAGGCUGAAGAUAAACAGAUCCCAGCUAAUCUGAUUGCUCCUCUGCUGCUCAGAACAAUGGCCUCCACACAAACACCAGCAAUUGGUUCGUAAACUCUGCUCAGAUGUUUCUGAUGAGAUUCUGAGUCCUAAAUAUGAAAAAGAAAACUACAUGGCUGCCCAGCUGCAGGGAAGUGAGGCAUUCGUUUAUGAAGCCCUUGUCAGCUUAUUGAAUUCACGCACCCAAGCAGUCUGAGCUUUU